RNAcentral lists this ribosomal RNA (253 nucleotides) under uncultured prokaryote. RNAcentral describes it as "partial 16S ribosomal RNA". It matches the Rfam family "Bacterial small subunit ribosomal RNA", at positions 524 to 776 of the family's 1533-position model. The record is from RNAcentral.
UACAGAGGUGGCAAGCGUUGUUCGGAUUUAUUGGGCGUAAAGGGUUCGUAGGCGGUUUGAAAAGUCAGAUGUGAAAUCCUACAGCUUAACUGUAGAACUGCAUUUGAAACUUUCAGACUAGAGUAUGAGAGGGGUUAAGGGAAUUCCCGGUGUAAGGGUGAAAUCUGCAGAGAUCGGGAGGAACACCAGUCGCGAAGGCGCUUAACUGGCUCAUUACUGACGCUCAGGAACGAAAGCUAGGGGAGCAAACGGG